This 250-nucleotide ribosomal RNA is filed under the name uncultured bacterium. RNAcentral describes it as "partial 16S ribosomal RNA". It matches the Rfam family "Bacterial small subunit ribosomal RNA", at positions 524 to 773 of the family's 1533-position model. The record is from RNAcentral.
UACGUAGGCAGCGAGCGUUGUUCGGAGUUACUGGGCGUAAAGCGUGCGUAGGCGGUCUUGUAAGUUUGGUGUGAAAUCUCCCGGCUUAACCGGGAGGGUGCGCCGAAAACUGCAAGGCUGGAGUAUGGGAGAGGUAGGCGGAAUUCCUGGUGUAGCGGUGAAAUGCGUAGAUAUCAGGAGGAACACCAGUGGUGUAGACGGCUUACUGGACCAUGACUGACGCUGAGGCACGAAAGCGUGGGUAGCAAAC